Molecule: ribosomal RNA, 497 nt
Filed under: uncultured bacterium
Lineage: Bacteria
Description: partial 16S ribosomal RNA
Rfam family: Bacterial small subunit ribosomal RNA
Source: RNAcentral
GACGAACGCUGGCGGCGUGCCUAAUACAUGCAAGUAGAACGCUGAAGCGAGGAGCUUGCUCUUCUUGGGUGAGGUGCGAACGGGUGAGUAACGCGUAUGUAACCUCCCUUGUAGCGGGGGAUCACUAUUGGACACGGUCGCUAAUACCGCAUAACCAUGGGUGACACAUUUCGUUUUUUUGAAAUUGGCAAUUUCUCCACUACAAGAUGGACCUUCGUUGUAUUAGCUAGUAGGUGCGGUAAUGGCGCACUUAGGCGUCGAAACAUAGCCGACCUGAGCGGACGGUCAGCCACACUGGGAGGGGGACACGGCACAGAGUCACACGGGAGGCAGCAGGACGGAAUCGUCGGGAAUGGGGGCGAAACUGACCGAGAAAGGCCGAGUGAGGGAAGAAGGUUUUCGGGUCGGAAAGGUCUGUUGUCGGGCAAGAACGGGCGUGCGAGUGGAAAGUACACACAGUGACGGUAACUGACAAGAAAGGAACGGCUAACUACGUG